Molecule: ribosomal RNA, 860 nt
Filed under: uncultured archaeon
Lineage: Archaea
Description: bacterial SSU rRNA
Rfam family: Archaeal small subunit ribosomal RNA
Source: RNAcentral
UUUUCCCGUUUUGUUCUGCCGGACCCGACUGCUAUCAGAGUAGGACUAAGCCAUGCGAGUCAACGCCGCAAGGCGUGGCAUACGGCUCAGUAACACGUAGUCAACAUGCCCAAAGGACGUGGAUAACCUCGGGAAACUGAGGAUAAACCACGAUAGGCCAAGGUUUCUGGAAUGAGCCAUGGCCGAAAUCUAUAUGGCCUUUGGAUUGGACUGCGGCCGAUCAGGCUGUUGGUGAGGUAAUGGCCCACCAAACCUGUAACCGGUACGGGCUUUGAGAGAAGUAGCCCGGAGAUGGGCACUGAGACAAGGGCCCAGGCCCUAUGGGGCGCAGCAGGCGCGAAACCUCUGCAAUAGGCGAAAGCCUGACAGGGUUACUCUGAGUGAUGCCCGCUAAGGGUAUCUUUUGGCACCUCUAAAAAUGGUGCAGAAUAAGGGGUGGGCAAGUCUGGUGUCAGCCGCCGCGGUAAUACCAGCACCCCGAGUUGUCGGGACGAUUAUUGGGCCUAAAGCAUCCGUAGCCUGUUCUACAAGUCCUCCGUUAAAUCCACCUGCUCAACAGAUGGGCUGCGGGGGAUACUAUAGGGCUAGGAGGCGGGAGAGGCAAACGGUACUCAGUGGGUAGGGGUAAAAUCCACUGAUCCAUUGAAGACCACCAGUGGCGAAGGCGGCUUGCCAGAACGCGCUCGACGGUGAGGGAUGAAAGCUGGGGGAGCAAACCGGAUUAGAUACCCGGGUAGUCCCAGCUGUAAACGAUGCAGACUCGGUGAUGGGCUGGCCUUGUGCCAGCCCAGUGCCGCAGGGAAGCCGUUAAGUCUGCCGCCUGGGGAGUACGGUCGCAAGACUGAAAACUUAANGGAAUU